UAAGAGGUCCCGCCUGCCCUGUGACUAAAUGUUUAACGGCCGCGGUAUUUUAACCGUGCAAAGGUAGCGCAAUCACUUGUCUCUUAAAUGGAGACCUGUAUGAAUGGCAUAACGAGGGCUAAGCUGUCUCCUCUUUCAAGUCAAUGAAAUUGAUUUCCCCGUGCAGAAGCGGGGAUACCCACAUAAGACGAGAAGACCCUAUGGAGCUUUAGACACAAGGUAAAUUAUGUUAAUACCCCUCCACAUAAGAGGAUUAAACCAAAUAACCCUUACCUCUAUGUCUUUGGUUGGGGCGACCGCGGGGAAAUAAAAAACCCCCACGUGGAAAGGGAACACCCUUCCUACAAGUAAGAGCUCCCGCUCUAACAAACAAAAUUUUUGACCAAUAAGAUCCGGCAACGCCGAUCAACGGACCGAGUUACCCUAGGGAUAACAGCGCAAUCCCCUUUUAGAGCCCAUAUCGACAAGGGGGUUUACGACCUCGAUGUUGGAUCAGGACAUCCUAAUGGUGCAGCCGCUAUUAAGGGUUCGUU
This 533-nucleotide ribosomal RNA is filed under the name Antigonia capros (deepbody boarfish). RNAcentral describes it as "partial 16S ribosomal RNA". It matches the Rfam family "Bacterial large subunit ribosomal RNA", at positions 1846 to 2577 of the family's 2925-position model. The record is from RNAcentral. Lineage: Eukaryota; Metazoa; Chordata; Actinopteri; Caproiformes; Caproidae.